UACGUAGGGUGCGAGCGUUGUCCGGAAUUACUGGGCGUAAAGAGCUCGUAGGUGGUUUGUCGCGUUGUUCGUGAAAACUCACAGCUUAACUGUGGGCGUGCGGGCGAUACGGGCAGACUGGAGUACUGCAGGGGAGACUGGAAUUCCUGGUGUAGCGGUGGAAUGCGCAGAUAUCAGGAGGAACACCGGUGGCGAAGUCGGGUCUCUGGGCAUUAACUGACGCUGAGGAGCUAAAGCAUGGGGAGCGAACAGG
Molecule: ribosomal RNA, 253 nt
Filed under: uncultured bacterium
Lineage: Bacteria
Description: partial 16S ribosomal RNA
Rfam family: Bacterial small subunit ribosomal RNA
Source: RNAcentral